RNAcentral lists this ribosomal RNA (326 nucleotides) under uncultured eukaryote. RNAcentral's name for it is "partial 18S ribosomal RNA". It matches the Rfam family "Eukaryotic small subunit ribosomal RNA", at positions 1470 to 1796 of the family's 1831-position model. The record is from RNAcentral.
CCCUUAGAUGUUCUGGGAUGCACGCGCGUUACACUGAUUCGUUCAACGAGUUUAUGACCUUGCCUGAUGAGGUGGGGGAAUCUUUUCAAAUCGCAUCGUGAUGGGGAUAGAGUAUUGUAACUGUUAGUCUUCAACGAGGAAUUCCUAGUAAGUACGUGUCAUCAGCUCGUACUGAUUAUGUCCCUGCCCUUUGUACACACCGCCCGUCGCUCCUACCGAUUGAGUGCUCAGGUGAAUAGUAUGGACUGCAUCAGUGUUCGGUCUCCGAAUGUUGACGCGAGAAAUUCUGUGAAUCUUAUUGCUUAGAGGAAGGAGAANUCGUAGCA